RNAcentral lists this ribosomal RNA (519 nucleotides) under Triticum aestivum (bread wheat). Its description in RNAcentral is "partial small subunit ribosomal RNA". Lineage: Eukaryota; Viridiplantae; Streptophyta; Magnoliopsida; Poales; Poaceae. The record is from RNAcentral.
AUUGACACCCCGAGCCACACGAACCCGAUGCUGGAGUUCGGCCGCCGCCUGGCGCGCCAGGGCCUCCGCCCAACGUUCGUCUCCACCCGUCACGUGCUCUCCUCCACCCCACCCCCUGGCGUGCCCUUCCGCGUGGCCGCCAUCUUCGAUGGAUUCGACGCCGGUGGCUUCGCCUCGUGCCCGGACCCCGCCGAGUACUUCUCCCGGCUGGAGGCCGCGGGGUCCGAGACGCUGCGCGACCUCCUGUUGUCGGAGGAGACGACCGCAGUGCGCUUGCUGGUGUACGACUCGCACCUGCCAUGGGCGGGGCGGGUGGCGCGGGCCGCCGGCGUGCCCGCCGCGGCGUUCUUCUCGUAGCCAUGCGCGGUGAACAUCGUCUACGGGGAGGUGUGGACGGGGCGGCUGGCGCUGCCGGUGACGGACGGGCGUGCACUAGUAGGGAAAAGCCUAGCAGUAGCGCGCGUUUUAGGUGUAUCGGUAGCGCGGGGUGCCGCGCUACUGAUACGGCGCUACAACUAA